RNAcentral lists this long non-coding RNA (5977 nucleotides) under Bemisia tabaci. RNAcentral describes it as "lncRNA ENSSSA2NGG004778". Lineage: Eukaryota; Metazoa; Arthropoda; Insecta; Hemiptera; Aleyrodidae. The record is from RNAcentral.
GCAUUGAAUGGAUUUCUCCAGACACCGAUUGAAAGUGGAUUCACGAAUGACGCACAAAACCUGGCCCCUCUCGUACGCCACACCUACACCGGCAAUGACUUCAAAGACAUGGUAGAGCUAAAUGUCCCCCUGGUGGACAAAACCGACUUCAUCAAACAAUUCAACUCUUCCACCAAAAGGAUCCUCAUCACCCGUCCGCGCGGGUUCGGCAAAACCUUCAACUUGUCCAUGCUGAAACAUUUCUACGCGCUCAACACCAACUCCAGCCACCUGUUCAAGGACAAGGCCAUCUCCAGGGACAAAGCCUUCUGCGCGGAAUACCUGAACAAGCGCGAAGUCCUAUUCAUGAGUUUUGCGGGCCUCAACCACAGCACUUUCGAAGGGGUUCGAGGCGCGUUCAGGGCUUCGCUCGACGGUUGUACCAAGAGAACUCCUACCUCGCCAACAGCAGUCACGUCCCGCCAGCGGAGCAACCUGCCUUCAAGGCCUUCGCCCGGGGGAAAAUAGACGACAACCAGAUCCCGGAGGCCUUUGGACUUCUGGUCCGUUACCUUCAUGCCGGCCGUGGGAAACUCGUGCUUCUCCUUGAUGAUUACGAUGGACCAAUCAGGACCGGCUACACACACAAAUAUUACGACCGCAUCCGGACUUUGGUCUCCGCUAUCCUGAGAGCGUUAUUCCAGGACGACUAUUUAGAAUUCGGCGUUGUGACUGGAAUCACAAACGUCGGAACUGAAGAUAUGAACUUCCUGGAAUAUCCCAUGAACGACGGUGCUCUGUCCGAGUUCUUCGGCUUCACCUACGAUGAAAUGGACUCUCUGGCGAAACAAUUCGGCGAGCCGAAACCUGGGCUGGUGCCGAAGAUGGAAGCCAUGUACGAGGGAUAUUAUUUCGGCAACCGGACUGUCCAUAACCCGUACGACGUGGUCGUUAGUCUGCAGAGACGGGGAGAUCUGGAUGACCACUGGGUGCAGGCCUGUGGAGAUGAGGACCCGUACGAGUUUUGGAAUAAGUUCGGGUUGUUACCGUCCCUCAAAGGACAGUUCUUGCUUGCCAAUGUAAUGCCCAGACAAUGGCUUCGGAAACAGGUAGACUUGUCCCUCAUGGACACGGACGAGGACAUGUUUUGGACGUAUAUAACCAGGCUAGGUUACCUAACGGUGGCCGAUGUCCUAUCGAUUACCGGUAACGGGGACGCUCUCUACGCCCUGCGAAUCCCGAACCGGGAACUCCGCGAAACACUCCACUUCAUCGUUUACGGCAUCCCGCAUCACUUCCAGGUCCGUGAAUACGAAAAGUUUGAGGAGGCCUAUCAGUGGCAGCAGGAGAAGGCUGCCACGAGGAUCUUGACCAAGUACGCAAACAGGACGGGGAAGUACUUCAAGACAGCCCCCCUGAGGACAGCCCUCGGGCUUGUUACAGGGUUGGAGGAGACUAGAGGCCGGCUCAUCAAGGUCCCUGGGGACUGCGAAAUGUACAUCUUCGAAAAGGCACAGAAUAUGAUUCUGUUGAGGACGGUCAGCGACAAGGCGGACCUGAAUCCUCAGACUGAGGAAAAGUGGAUGAUAGAUUGUUUUGCGCACAUUAAGAAGAAAUUACCAGAGAACAGGGUCACGCGGCAGGCCGUCGUGUCAGUCUGGAACAAUACCGUCAUCAUGCAGUUCUAUCAAUAUCGAUAGCCUUUCUCAAUGCCAUCGUGGGACUAAACGACCUUGCGUUUCCGUUUAGGACGAUACAAACUUUCGCGUGAGCCCAGCUUGGUACUGUACGUGUCGAAUCUGCUCAAGACACUCUCAAAAUCCAAAGGCCGAAAACUCAAAACUGCUAGGAAACGCGAGAGUCAGCUAGGAGGGGGGAGGCGGAAGGGGAGAGAGGGAGAGAGAGAAAGAGCACUAUGUAUCACUUCUUACACAAGGCAGGGUGAGUGAGUAUACAGGAUAAAGAGUUUUGAGUGAAGUGAAGUAUGAACUUGCACUACGUCUCUUCUUAACUUAUUCCUACGAAGGACUGACUCAAUGGGAUUGUGGAUGAAGAUGAUCUCAAACGUGUCCCGGUUUUUAAAAUUGUUGAGACUUGAAAAUUCCUAAAUUACCAUGAUACAGUCAUGGGUCCUAUAAUCGUUUUUUACAAAUACGUUUCUGAUGUCUGAUUUUGCUGUCAGCGCCAUUUAAAACUGCAGUUUUAUUUUGACACCAAUUUUUUUCGCACAGUUAAGAAAGCAAAACACUCAAUUUCAAGUGUUUCGAUCCAAUCAGUAUAAAUUCAAAUGGACUUCAAAAUGGUGAAAUAGAGUCACGAUCUAUAGGACUCAAGUCCAUUCUUCCCACUCAGAAUUUUACACAAUAAGUAUUGACCCUGAAUUUCAAAGUCGAAACAAUUUUCAUUCAAGGACAACUUUUUAGAUUUUGCUCCUCUUGUUAUGACUAGAAUUCAUGAGAGGUAAAAUAAAAGUAUAGAAAAACUCGUCAAAGAUUAAUGAUAAUUGUUCAGAACCCGAUACUUUUAUCAAAAAAAGAAAUAAGUUUAGCUAACCCUUAUACUGCAGCUCAGGACUAGUCUAAUAAGAUUUUUCCAAUAUUAAAAGGCAAUGCAAUAGAAAGAAAUUUAUAUUUGUGCCUUUUUGAUUCUAACUUUCUUUCAGCAUUAUAAAUUUUAUUUGUACUUAUGCCCUGGUGCACAUUAGUGACAUUAGUCACAUUAGUCCUAAACAAUUUAGGAGCCAAAAAUUUUUCUUGCCGAAAAAAGUAAAAACGUGCAUUACCGUGCAAAUAAACCAGUCUUCUUUUUGUCUUUAGAGUGUCUAAAGAACGUCGAAAAACAUUAAAUCGUUACGUUUAUCCAUCUAUUGUAUACCUUUGUUCACAAACCCACUUUUCUUCGUUGAUUUUCCAAAUUUUCUUUUUCAUCUCGGUCUAACAAUGAGCUCCGAAUUUUUGUCGGAUGGCUAUGCUCGGUUGAUUUUUCUUUUAUUUUAAAUUGCAGCAAGUUUAACAUUGGUUACUUACUCAAGUAUGUACAUAUGUUAUUUUCAAUUCGAUGCUGAAAUUCUAUAUAGGACGUAUUUUUCUACCUCCAAAUAAGAGGGCAGUUACUAAUUUGUCCUUUACGUGCACCAAGAUAUGCAUAAGUUUGGACGGGGAUACUGUUUCCAAAGAUUGAAGAAAAAUUGCAAUGAAUGAAAAAAGUAGAAUUGUUCCUCUCCGUCUAAACUUUAAUAAUCUGCGUCUUGACGCCCUUCAUUAUUCUUUUCCACGCCUUUACAUUCAGUCCCGCCAUCUCCCGCUCUACUCUUCCCCUCCGGGCUAUUUUUUUCUUCAAUCUAAUUCUUUUCAUUUAUAUUAAGUCCAAAUUUCUUUCUUCAGUUUUUCCCAUUCUUAUGCAUUUGUUUUUGGGUAAAAUACGCUAGAAAAAGGAUAGGGGUGGGUUGAUGGGGAAAAGUGGUCGAAAGAAGAUAGGUAAAACGAGCAUGGGUGCAAGGGGGAUGUAAAAUUAGGAAAAAUGAGGAUAGACAUAGAUCAUUACAGUAUACAUAGAGAGGAAAAAGUCUACCUUCUUACAUUCAUUGCAAUGUUUCCACAAUUUUGGGAGAGAAUCCUAUAAUUAAUAUUGUUGAAAAUUUAGUGCGUAUGCAAUACAAUCCGGCACUAGAAAAAAAAAUAGAAUUUCAAACAUUUUUUAACCUUAUCCCGGAUUAAGAUGUUAUUUUAUGUUGUUCUCUGGUUGAUUAGGUUGUUCAUCAUUCUAAAUAAGUAAUGUACAGGUGGAGAAGUACUAAUCAAAUUAUUUUUAAGACAAAUUCGCAAGCUCUGUGAGCUACUUUAUACGUAAUGGACAACCUCGCAACAAUGUUCGAUUGCCACUUUUUUCAGAUGUAGUAUUUUGACAGCCCUCGUUAUUGGAGUAAAAUGAGAUGAGUUUGAAACUUUCAUGAUAGCAAUAACGUAGGAGGGAAGAUAACAGCGAAUCGACAACAAAUCGCAAGUUCAUUUCAUAAAGGUGGAUGAUGUUAUCUAUAACCUUCACAAAGUUACCACCGUCAACACCAUGCGGUCAAGUAGAAUACAAAGAAAGUGUGCGGUUGCUCACACCACCUUUGAAGUGCCUCAGAGAGUUCACAACUCACCACUCGUCUUACCUUGAAUCGAAGAAACUUGCGAAGCAACCCCUUUUCAGUAUGUUCACUUCCAUUCCAUCCCUCAGGAGGGCAGUAGAAAGUUUCCGCUCAUUCCCUCCUUGGUCCUCGCUACAGCUCCUCAAUCAACUGACCCUCAUUUGUACAUCUUUUUCCCCAAAUAACCGCGUUUUUAAGUUCCUCGAGGCUGGGCUUUAAAAGUUCUCUGAAAUUUCCGAAUUUCGAGACAGCUGAAUCUAUAGCGAAGCAGACACAUUUCAAUAUUUCAAGUCAGGGCAAUCCCUGUAAUUUUCGUGUACCACUUCCAAAUGGCGAAUUUUUGAGAACUGUUAGAUCUUUUCUUCCUGAUCUAUAGACCUUGUGUCCGCCUAAUCGGGCGAGGGCAUUCUGUUGCAAAAGGGAGCUGAAGGUUCCGUGUUGCAAUUUCAAAAAUUGGAGCCGUAUCCACUUUACAAUUAAAGACUAAACUGAUCGAGAGUUGACUGUAUAGCGUCUUGAUACAAUUAUUCGUGUUCCACGAAUGUGCGUGUUGCAUGUUCUAAAUUGAAGGCGUUUGCGCAUUUCUCCUCUCUGUGGAGAUGCACAGGCACGGGACUUGUGGGGUCUAGCACUCUCACAGCAGAGUACCAAUACUGCCAUGCUAAGUAAGAACGCCGUAUGAGCCAUCAGGCCUUUCCAAAUUUCCUUCGACAAAUCAUGAAUUUUCAGAAAAUCUGUGAAUGUUUCUCUCGAGAUUUUUCGAAGGAUUUUGUUCGUAAGUUGGUCUAAAAGGCUGAAAAGGGGUACGUGCAAAACGGGCCAUUUCACGCUCGUGACGCCUACCAUUGAAACUCGCCCUAUUCAUUCAUCUAACAAUGCCCUAUGUUUUCCCAAAGUUUCAAGUCCCCAAAACAUUUUGGGGGGAAGUGGCGGGGGGUCAAAGUUGAAAACCCGCGAAAUUUUCGCGAAUUUUUUACUCAAAAACUACAAAUAUUUCGAAACGCGGUUUAAACGAGCGUUUUCAGCGUGAAAAGAGCUUUCAGAAAAUGUAUAAUAUCGACGUAAACGUCGUAUCGGUGUAUCGUUCGUGUGUCGACGUAAACUCGAGUUAUCGCCUCCGAAGCGCCGGAACGCUAAAAAAUGACCCGUUUUUUUGUCACGUUCGGGCCGAUCCCCAAAAUACGUCAUUUUUAAUUUCUUUGAAAAACUAAUAUGUUGUUCCUGACUCUUUAUGGCACCUAUUUGUCUUUACUGCAUCCUGGGGAAAUGUUUUGUUCGCGAGUUAUAAGCGCGGAAAGGAGCGAAAGUCGGGAAAAUCGGCUGUUUUGAACUGCGCGCGUCGCAAGGGUUAGAAGGAGAACGCCCCCUCCUGCUCAGUUCGGCGAAUCACACUCCUCUGCCAACCUCGCACUGUUGCCACAUGUCUCCUGAUUCGUCGCCGCGCGCAGUUUAAAAUAGCCGAUUUUCCCGACUUUCGCUCCUUUCCGCGCUUAUAACUCGCGAACAAAACAUUUCCCCAGGAUGCGGUAAAGACAAAUAGGUGCCAUAGAGAGUCAGGAACAACAUAUUAGUUUUUCAAAGAAAUUAAAAAUGACGUAUUUUGGGGAUCGGCCCGAACGUGACAAAAAAACCCCGCCCAACACGAAAUAUUGCUGCAAUAUUUUCGCAAUGUUCCGUGACAAUAUUGUCGCAAUAUUGUCAAAAAAACACUCUUAAAAUACUUGCUUAAUAUUUUGAAAACAUUCCUAACAAACAUUUUUAAAAUGUAUUUAUAAAAUAUUGUUUAAAUAUUUUAGCAGUGUUUCCAAAAUAUUUACUUGACAAUGUUGUUAAAAUAUUCAAUGUUUAUAUUAUGAAAAUGUUUCA